This 73-nucleotide transfer RNA is filed under the name Stegodyphus mimosarum. It matches the Rfam family "tRNA". From Rfam's summary of the family: Transfer RNA (tRNA) molecules are approximately 80 nucleotides in length. Lineage: Eukaryota; Metazoa; Arthropoda; Arachnida; Araneae; Eresidae. The record is from Rfam by way of RNAcentral.
GCCUUCGUGGUGUAGCGGUCAGCAUGCUUGACACGUAACCGAGAAGUCCGCGGUUCGAUUCCCAGCGAGGGCA